RNAcentral lists this ribosomal RNA (1233 nucleotides) under Triticum aestivum (bread wheat). RNAcentral describes it as "partial small subunit ribosomal RNA". Lineage: Eukaryota; Viridiplantae; Streptophyta; Magnoliopsida; Poales; Poaceae. The record is from RNAcentral.
AUGAAAGAAUACUUUGAUGAUCACAACAUGAGUGGAAUUGACCCCUCCGAGAGAUCACUUUGGCCCCGAUGGUCCACAAUCAACUCGGAUUGUCAAAAGUGGGCAGCCGCACCAAAGGGAGUUGACAAGAUUAACCCAAGUGGCACAAAUGAGGAUGAUAGAUUCAACAUUGCACAAAACUUGUUCAAAGAAGAGACGAGGGUGGCCAAGAAGGGGAAGAUCAAGAAAGGAAGGGUCUUUACCUUGUCUCAUUGCUAUGAAGUGUUAAAGGAUGAUGAGAAAUGGAAGAAGCGUGAUGGUUUGGAUGAUUUGCAUUUGAGCAACAAACGCAAGCGAGCAAUUGAGUUGGAUGAGGAGGAGGAGGAGGAUGAUGCAUCAAGUGAUGACGGCAAGAGAAGCCCCACACCCAACUCGGUUUCAUACUCGAAGCCAAAACGACCGGAUGGGUGCAAGAAAGACAAAACCGAAAAGAAGAAGAGGAAAGGGGAUGAUGAGCUCAAAAAUGCUAUGGAAGAUAUUGUGAAGGCAAGAAAAGAAGCCAACGAGGUGAGGAAAAUGGCAAGGAACCAAGAUGCCGCGGCCGAGGAGAGGAGGUUGGCGGCCGAGGAGAGGAGGGUGGCCGCCGAAGAGAGGAAAGUGGCAUUGGAGGAGAGGAAGGUGGGCAUGGAGGAGCGAUCUAGGUUGUUGGAAUGGGAGAAGCACUUAUUAUUCUUGGACACAUCUUUGUUCAAUGAUGCGCAAAAGGAAUAUGUCAACCUUGCCCGUGAAGAAGUCUUGAUCCAAAAAAGAGCCAUGAUCCGCACAAUGGGUGGCGGUGGCCUUGACGGCAUGGGUGGCGGUGGCCUCGGCGGCUUGGGUGGCGGUGGCCUUGGCGGCAUGGGUGGCGGCGGCCUUGGCACCAUGGGAGGCAUGGGUGGCUUGGGCGCCAUGGGAGGCAUGGGUGCACCUCCGGCCGCCAUGGGAGGCAUGGGUGGCUUUGGAGCACCCUCUGACGCUAUGGCCGCCAUGGGAGGCAUGAGUUUCGCUUCUCUUAUUGAAGGCAUGGGUGCACCUCUGGCCAUGGGUGGAAUGGCUUUCGAUGUUCCUCCUCAAACACAUUCCCAUGAAGAUGCCGUUGAAGAUCUUUCCAACACCGUCGGAGCUUCACGUGAUGCGAUGCGUGAUGAGGAUAGGGAGGAAGAUUCAUCUUCGGAGGCGGAAGAAUCAUCUUCGGAAGAUGAGGACGAAGACUAG